RNAcentral lists this ribosomal RNA (359 nucleotides) under uncultured bacterium. Its description in RNAcentral is "bacterial SSU rRNA". It matches the Rfam family "Bacterial small subunit ribosomal RNA", at positions 527 to 888 of the family's 1533-position model. The record is from RNAcentral.
GUAGGUGGCAAGCGUUGUCCGGAUUUAUUGGGUUUAAAGGGUGCGUAGGCGGCCUUGUAAGUCAGUGGUGAAAUACUCUAGCUUAACUAGAGGGGUGCCAUUGAUACUGCAGGGCUUGAGUACAGACGAGGUAGGCGGAAUUGACGGUGUAGCGGUGAAAUGCAUAGAUAUCGUCAAGAACUCCGAUAGUGAAGACAGCUUACUAGGCUGUAACUGACGCUGAGGCACGAAAGUGUGGGGAUCAAACAGGAUUAGAUACCCUGGUAGUCCACACUGUAAACGUUGAUGACUCGAUGUUGGCGAUACACAGCCAGCGUCCAAGAGCAAUCGUUAAGUCAUCCACCUGGGGAGUACGCCGG